This 253-nucleotide ribosomal RNA is filed under the name uncultured bacterium. RNAcentral describes it as "partial 16S ribosomal RNA". It matches the Rfam family "Bacterial small subunit ribosomal RNA", at positions 524 to 776 of the family's 1533-position model. The record is from RNAcentral.
GACAGAGGUGCCAAGCGUUAGGCGGAAUCACUGGGCUUAAAGCGCGUGUAGGUGGCGGCCUAAGUACCUUGUGAAAUCCUGCGGCUCAACCGCAGAACUGCUUGGUAUACUGGGUCGCUUGAGCCAUCCAGGGGCAACUGGAACAAGCGGUGGAGCGGUGAAAUGCGUAGAUAUCUGGAGGAAUACCGGUGGCGAAGGCGGCAUCCUGGACCAUUACUGACGCUGAGGCGCGAAAGCUAGGGGAGCAAACGGG